CCUACGGGAGGCAGCAGUGAGGAAUAUUGGUCAAUGGCCGUAAGGCUGAACCAGCCAAGUCGCGUGAAGGAAGAAGGAUCUAUGGUUUGUAAACUUCUUUUAUAGGGGAAUAAAGGUAUCCACGUGUGGAUAUUUGCAUGUACCCUAUGAAUAAGCAUCGGCUAACUCCGUGCCAGCAGCCGCGGUAAUACGGAGGAUGCGAGCGUUAUCCGGAUUUAUUGGGGUUAAAGGGUGCGUAGGUUGUUUUUUAAGUCAGCGGUGAAAGUUUGUGGCUCAACCAUAAAAUUGCCGUUGAAACUGGAAGACGUGAGUGUGUUUGAGGUAGGCGGAAUGCGUGGUGUAGCGGUGAAAUGCAUAGAUAUCACGCAGAACUCCGAUUGCGAAGGCAGCUUACUAAGCCAUAACUGACACUGAAGCACGAAAGCGUGGGGAUCAAACAGGAUUAGAUACCCGAGUAGUC
Molecule: ribosomal RNA, 460 nt
Filed under: uncultured bacterium
Lineage: Bacteria
Description: partial 16S ribosomal RNA
Rfam family: Bacterial small subunit ribosomal RNA
Source: RNAcentral